UUUCUUUUGUAGUUCAUAAGCAUGAUGACUGGGUUUUCAUGCUUGUCUGUGAGAUGUGCUUCCCUUCAAUCUUGUCAUGUUGUUGGUACAUUACCCAUCUGACA
Molecule: small nucleolar RNA, 104 nt
Organism: Macaca fascicularis (crab-eating macaque)
Lineage: Eukaryota; Metazoa; Chordata; Mammalia; Primates; Cercopithecidae
Source: Ensembl